Molecule: ribosomal RNA, 870 nt
Filed under: mercury-resistant bacterium mCFU 609
Lineage: Bacteria
Description: bacterial SSU rRNA
Rfam family: Bacterial small subunit ribosomal RNA
Source: RNAcentral
UGCAAGUCGAACGGCAGCGCGGGCUUCGGCCUGGCGGCGAGUGGCGAACGGGUGAGUAAUAUAUCGGAACGUACCCAAGAGUGGGGGAUAACGUAGCGAAAGUUACGCUAAUACCGCAUACGAUCUAAGGAUGAAAGCAGGGGAUCGCAAGACCUUGUGCUCCUGGAGCGGCCGAUAUCUGAUUAGCUAGUUGGUGGGGUAAAGGCCCACCAAGGCAACGAUCAGUAGCUGGUCUGAGAGGACGACCAGCCACACUGGAACUGAGACACGGUCCAGACUCCUACGGGAGGCAGCAGUGGGGAAUUUUGGACAAUGGGGGCAACCCUGAUCCAGCAAUGCCGCGUGAGUGAAGAAGGCCUUCGGGUUGUAAAGCUCUUUUGUCAGGGAAGAAAAGGUCGUGGCUAAUAUCCACGACUGCUGACGGUACCUGAAGAAUAAGCACCGGCUAACUACGUGCCAGCAGCCGCGGUAAUACGUAGGGUGCAAGCGUUAAUCGGAAUUACUGGGCGUAAAGCGUGCGCAGGCGGUUUCGUAAGUCUGUCGUGAAAUCCCCGGGCUUAACCUGGGAAUGGCGAUGGAGACUGCGAGGCUAGAGUUUGGCAGAGGGGGGUAGAAUUCCACGUGUAGCAGUGAAAUGCGUAGAGAUGUGGAGGAACACCGAUGGCGAAGGCAGCCCCCUGGGUCAAAACUGACGCUCAUGCACGAAAGCGUGGGGAGCAAACAGGAUUAGAUACCCUGGUAGUCCACGCCCUAAACGAUGUCUACUAGUUGUUGGGUCUUAAUUGACUUAGUAACGCAGCUAACGCGUGAAGUAGACCGCCUGGGGAGUACGGUCGCAAGAUUAAAACUCAAAGGAAUUGACGGGGACCC